RNAcentral lists this ribosomal RNA (429 nucleotides) under Bacteroidota bacterium. RNAcentral's name for it is "Bacteroidetes bacterium partial 16S ribosomal RNA". It matches the Rfam family "Bacterial small subunit ribosomal RNA", at positions 355 to 776 of the family's 1533-position model. The record is from RNAcentral. Lineage: Bacteria; Pseudomonadati; Bacteroidota.
UAGGGAAUCUUCCGCAAUGGACGCAAGUCUGACGGAGCAACGCCGCGUGAGUGAAGAAGGAUUUCGGUUCGUAAAACUCUGUUGUUAGAGAAGAACAGCGCAUAGAGUAACUGUUAUGCGUGUGACGGUAUCUAACCAGAAAGCCACGGCUAACUACGUGCCAGCAGCCGCGGUAAUACGUAGGUGGCAAGCGUUGUCCGGAUUUAUUGGGCGUAAAGCGAGCGCAGGCGGUCAAUUAAGUCUGAUGUGAAAGCCCCCGGCUCAACCGGGGAGGGUCAUUGGAAACUGGUUGACUUGAGUGCAGAAGAGGAGAGUGGAAUUCCAUGUGUAGCGGUGAAAUGCGUAGAUAUAUGGAGGAACACCAGUGGCGAAAGCGGCUCUCUGGUCUGUAACUGACGCUGAGGCUCGAAUGCGUGGGGAGCGAACAGG